UGGGGAAUAUUGGGCAAUGGGCGCAAGCCUGACCCAGCGACGCCGCGUGAGGGAAGACAGCCUUCGGGUUGUAAACCUCUGUUGCAGGGGAAGAAGGAAGUGACGGUACCCUGCGAGGAAGCUCCGGCUAACUACGUGCCAGCAGCCGCGGUAAUACGUAGGGAGCGAGCGUUGUCCGGAAUUACUGGGCGUAAAGGGCGCGUAGGCGGCGCUUCAAGUCGUCUGUCAAAAGCCGAGGCUCAACCUCGGCGCGCAGACGAAACUGGAGAGCUUGAGAAGCAGAGAGGCAAACAGAAUUCCUGGUGUAGCGGUGAAAUGCGUAGAUAUCAGGAAGAAUACCAGUGGCGAAGGCGGUUUGCUGGCUGCAUACUGACGCUGAAGCGCGAAAGCCAGGGGAGCAAACGGGA
This 407-nucleotide ribosomal RNA is filed under the name uncultured Pyramidobacter sp. RNAcentral describes it as "bacterial SSU rRNA". It matches the Rfam family "Bacterial small subunit ribosomal RNA", at positions 355 to 777 of the family's 1533-position model. Lineage: Bacteria; Thermotogati; Synergistota; Synergistia; Synergistales; Dethiosulfovibrionaceae. The record is from RNAcentral.